GAUGAACGCUGGCGGCGUGCCUAAUACAUGCAAGUCGAGCGAACAGACGAGGAGCUUGCUCCUUUGACGUUAGCGGCGGACGGGUGAGUAACACGUGGGUAACCUACCUAUAAGACUGGGAUAACUUCGGGAAACCGGAGCUAAUACCGGAUAAUAUUUCGAACCGCAUGGUUCGAUAGUGAAAGAUGGCUUUGCUAUCACUUAUAGAUGGACCUGCGCCGUAUUUGCUAGUUGGUAAGGUAACGGCUUACCAAGGCAACGAUACGUAGCCGACCUGAGAGGGUGAUCGGCCACACUGGAACUGAGACACGGUCCAGACUCCUACGGGAGGCAGCAGUAGGGAAUCUUCCGCAAUGGGCGAAAGCCUGACGGAGCAACGCCGCGUGAGUGAUGAAGGUCUUCGGAUCGUAAAACUCUGUUAUUAGGGAAGAACAAACGUGUAAGUAACUGUGCACGUCUUGACGGUACCUAAUCAGAAAGCCACGGCUAACUACGUG
Molecule: ribosomal RNA, 497 nt
Filed under: uncultured bacterium
Lineage: Bacteria
Description: partial 16S ribosomal RNA
Rfam family: Bacterial small subunit ribosomal RNA
Source: RNAcentral